RNAcentral lists this ribosomal RNA (192 nucleotides) under uncultured bacterium. RNAcentral describes it as "partial 16S ribosomal RNA". It matches the Rfam family "Bacterial small subunit ribosomal RNA", at positions 1295 to 1500 of the family's 1533-position model. The record is from RNAcentral.
GGAUUGUAGGCUGAAACUCGCCUACAUGAAGCUGGAAUUGCUAGUAAUCACAGGUCAGCAUACUGUGGUGAAUACGUUCCCGGGCCUUGUACACACCGCCCGUCACACCAUGAGAGUUGAGAAUACCCGAAGCCCAUGUCAAAGUGGUCGAAGGUAGGCUUGAUGAUUGGGGUGAAGUCGUAACAAGGUAUC